RNAcentral lists this ribosomal RNA (278 nucleotides) under uncultured Burkholderiales bacterium. Its description in RNAcentral is "partial 16S ribosomal RNA". It matches the Rfam family "Bacterial small subunit ribosomal RNA", at positions 505 to 783 of the family's 1533-position model. The record is from RNAcentral. Lineage: Bacteria; Pseudomonadati; Pseudomonadota; Betaproteobacteria; Burkholderiales.
GUGCCAGCAGCCGCGGUAAUACAUAGGGUGCAAGCGUUAAUCGGAAUUACUGGGCGUAAAGCGUGCGCAGGCGGUGAUGUAAGACAGUUGUGAAAUCCCCGGGCUCAACCUGGGAACUGCAUCUGUGACUGCAUCGCUGGAGUACGGCAGAGGGGGAUGGAAUUCCGCGUGUAGCAGUGAAAUGCGUAGAUAUGCGGAGGACACCGAUGGCGAAGGCAAUCCCCUGGGCCUGUACUGACGCUCAUGCACGAAAGCGUGGGGAGCAAACAGGAUUAGAU